RNAcentral lists this unclassified non-coding RNA (375 nucleotides) under Bombus terrestris (buff-tailed bumblebee). Its description in RNAcentral is "misc RNA ENSBTSG00005035667.1". Lineage: Eukaryota; Metazoa; Arthropoda; Insecta; Hymenoptera; Apidae. The record is from RNAcentral.
CCGUCAUCCGUGCCAAUCCUGGACCCAUGGAUCUUGUUCCUCUCGUAGGUCUCUCCGAGCAUCUUUAUCUUUAUGUAGAUCGGGAGAUUCCCGGUCAACACGCAAAGUGCCGCGUGGGAGACGGUACGGUAUGCCGUCGUUGUUAUGCACAGGGCCGUUGGUUGUGCUCGUUUCAGCUUUUUCCUGUUCCUAUCGGUAUUCGCUGCUUUAGCCCACACCGGUGCUCCGUAGGUUACGAUGGACUCCCACACAUUGUAGUAGAGCCUGCGAGCCAGGCUGGGCGGCCCAUUGAUGUUGGGUAGGAUUCCUUUAAGGGCUCCUAUUAACUUGUCGGCUCUGUUACACACCAUCUCGAUAUGCGCACCGAACCUCCGA